CUAGGAUUAGAUACCCUAUUAUAAAUUUGAAAAGUUUAGUAGUAAGUGAAAAUCAUGAAACUAAAAUUAAUUGGCGGCUUUUUAAAUAUUUUAGAGAAAUUUAUUCUUUAAAGGAGUCAACCCCAAAAUCUUACUUUUUUUUGUAUUAUUACAUUUCAUAUACCUCUAUUUAUUGGUUAUUAGUUUAAUUAUAAAUUUAGCUUUUUUAGAUAAAUCUUAGGGAAAGGUGUGGAUAAUAGAAAAGAGUGAAAUAAGUUUCAUUAAUUAGUAUUUAAUGAUUUAUUUUUGUAAUAAAAAUAAAAAAUAGAAUUUAAAAGUAAUAUUAGUAUAUUUUGCUAAUUUGAAUUAG
This 349-nucleotide ribosomal RNA is filed under the name Neoseiulus californicus. RNAcentral describes it as "partial 12S ribosomal RNA". The record is from RNAcentral. Lineage: Eukaryota; Metazoa; Arthropoda; Arachnida; Mesostigmata; Phytoseiidae.